ACACUUACCUGACCGAGGAGACACCAUGAUCACGAAGGUGGUUUUUCCCAGGGCGAGGUUCAUCCAUUGCACUCUGGAUGUGCUCAGCCCUGCGAUUUCCCCAAAUGCUGAAAACUCAACUGCAUAAUUUGUGGUAGUUGGGGACUGCGUUCAUGCUCUCCCCUG
Molecule: small nuclear RNA, 165 nt
Filed under: Dasypus novemcinctus (nine-banded armadillo)
Lineage: Eukaryota; Metazoa; Chordata; Mammalia; Cingulata; Dasypodidae
Description: U1 spliceosomal RNA (ENSDNOG00000032243.1)
Rfam family: U1 spliceosomal RNA
About the family: U1 is a small nuclear RNA (snRNA) component of the spliceosome (involved in pre-mRNA splicing). Its 5' end forms complementary base pairs with the 5' splice junction, thus defining the 5' donor site of an intron. There are significant differences in sequence and secondary structure between metazoan and yeast U1 snRNAs, the latter being much longer (568 nucleotides as compared to 164 nucleotides in human).
Source: RNAcentral